AUACGGAGGAUCCGAGCGUUAUCCGGAUUAUUGGGUUUAAAGGGUGCGCAGGCGGCCAUUUAAGUCAGCGGUUAAAUCGUGGGGCUCAACCCCAUUCUGCCGUUGAUACUGGGUGGCUUGAUUGCGGUCGAGGUUGGCGGAAUUCGUUGUGUAGCGGUGAAAUGCAUAGAUAUGACGAAGAACACCGAUUGCGUAGGCAGCUGACCAGACCGCAAAUGACGCUCAUGCACGAAAGUGCGGGGAUCGAACAGGAUUAGAUACCCUGGUAGUCCGCACAGUAAACGAUGAAUACUUGUUUUCGGCGAUAUAAUGUCGGAGGCAAAGCGAAAGCGAUAAGUAUUCCACCUGGGGAGUACGCCGGCAACGGUGAAACUCAAAUGAAUUGACGGGG
Molecule: ribosomal RNA, 391 nt
Filed under: uncultured bacterium
Lineage: Bacteria
Description: partial 16S ribosomal RNA
Rfam family: Bacterial small subunit ribosomal RNA
Source: RNAcentral